GCUUGUUCCUAUUAGAAAGGGCCAUUAUUUCAUGCUUUGUUUUGAAGAGACCUCCAUGAUGGCCACUUUAUCUUGCCACCAUAAAGAGCAGGAGCUUGCAGGGACAGCCAAGCUUUCAAGUUCAACAUCCCUCACUUCGUGUAUAAGGCAUGGCUUGAAGGCACAGCUUUCAGCUUAACUCAAAGCCCAAAUGCUCUAUGGUCAAGACAAAGCAAUAGAUCAGGACCCUUGGAACCUUUGAUGGACUGCUGUUUCCUGCCUCUACGAGCUGUCCAUUUCUCUGCUGCCCAUCAGUCCAUGCUAAACUGUUGGAACAGACUUUGUUGCAAGACCUCCGGGACACAGGGGAGGAGUGGAGCUGUGGAGAGGAUGACGGCAUGUCUGGAGGGAUAACAGUGGAUAGUGAGAAAACAGAGAAGAAAGGUAAAGCCGGGAAUGGAAGGAUGGCUGCCUGUGACAACGCUGGAUUUAUGUUGAAAGGCAUCGGCUGAGGCGUCCAAAAGCCACAAAUCAUCUCGCUCCCUCUGUGUGUGCCACCGUGACUAACUCAAAUGCAGAAUGUGUGAACAUACACACACGGCUUCAUCUGAUGUAAGGAAAGGUGAAGAGAGAGCUGGAACUAGGAAGAGAAAAUGGAAAUGGAGAUCUCAGAGAUAUCUGAAAGUGAGAGAAGAGGAGAGGAGAGGACACAAGGGGAGUAGAUGUAAAGGGAACUGCUCAGCUCAGAUCAGCUAAGAAGGAAGAAGGCAGAGCUAGAUAUCCAGGGGGUUUGUGUUAUGAACAGAUAAAGCACACAGUCUGGGAGACAACACAUGGCUUUUGAGGGAGAAAUAUACAGUGGAUAGCUGAGGAUUAAGACUGACCAGUCGAGUGAGAAAGAGACCAAUAUAGAACAACAGAGAGAGAGAGAGAAGACAGAGUCUCAGGGGUCUUAGUGCUACAUGCUUGGGAUGUUCUUUAUUCCCUGGUGCUGGCCCAUUCCCCAGUCCCUGAUUGGACUAUGCGGCUUUGAACCCGGGGCUUUUGGAAAGAGCAGGGCUCCCAGGGUGACUCAUGGCCACAACAAAGACACCGGCAAAACGCCAAGUAAGUCACAACAGCCUUUUCCCUCAGGUCAUCGGCAGAAUUCAGCAUGGGCUGCCCCUCCUCUGCCAAUCAGCAUGAAAUCAGCGUUAAUAACCUCCAUCGCAAGGUUCUUACAUUAACCCCCUUCUGUUUUAUUCCUCUACUCAUACUCAGGGUGAAAUUAGGCCAAUUAUUCAUUACUGGAGGAAGACUGACACCAUCGUCCACCCCUUUAUCAUUCAUAUGAACAGAAAACGUCCACUCUUAAAGCUGCAGUAAUUCAGACUUUCAUAUUAACAAUGGGUCAAAUCAUUAUGUGUAAUGUGAAAGUUGUCGAACGCACAAUCACCUGACUUUAAACACAAUGGACCAUUUAGGAGCUGAAGAGACAGAGACAAUAUAAGAAUGUCCUCAAAGGAGCUGGUGGAGAUCAAACCAGAGCUAAAACAGACUGAAUACUGGACUUGCAUUAGUGGGGUGACUAAAAACACAAUUCCACAUAAAUACAAAUGUUGCUCCAUGUCUGCUGAUGUAUAAACAGGCAACUGGUUGCUAAGAAGUUUGCCAUAUCAGCUGUAUAAGGGGAUAAUUUGUCAGUGUUGUCUCUACAGAUUGCCUAGAUUUUACUAUUUGUCUUCUGUUUUCCAAAUAAGUUUGACCAACCGUGGAGUUUGUCUAAAGCCUGUAUAAUUGUCUUCUACUUUGUCUACAAACAACCAUUGAAUUCAGCAUAAAUAUGUCACGGUGGAGGUGCAGUUGGACGCAAUAUGCUGAUACACAAGAGUUGAAGACAAAAUGAGUUUUUUUUAAGGCACAAAGAACAUGUCACCAGGUGGAGGAGAGAGAGGACAGAGACAGAGCAGGUUCUGGACAGAACAGGCAGGCAGACAGCGUGAGCUGACAGGAGAUGAGGCAGGCAGGCAGUGUGGAGAACCAGGAAGUACAGAGCUUGAGAGUGCAAGGCCGGGAAACGGAAAACUGAAGAGUGCAGAGUCAAAGAUGAAGCACUGGAGCUGGGGAGCAGAGAGCACCGAGUUGGGGAACGGCGAGUUGGAGAAUGCAGAGUUGGAAAAGUAGAGCUGGGGCUGGGGAGGGGGGGACACAGAGCUGGAGAGUGUCGAGACGGGAACGGAGAGCUGGAGCUUUGGGUAGCAGGUGAGAAUAACAUAACAGGUGAGAAUUGGCAAUGAACCAGCAGGGAGCAAACAGAAAAGGGGCGUAUAUGUAGGGCACUGAAUCGGGAGAUAACGAGUAGCAGGUGGAUGCAAUAAUGGGUGAUUGUGCUCACUGAGGACGUGACCGAGAAUCCGGGGAGAAAAACAACUAAAAAACCAUGACAAAAUGAAGGAUAUCAUUCCAAAUAUUUAAUAAAUGAAUAGCAAAUAUCAAUUGGAGUUUACAGUUUUUUCAUGCAACUUCAUCUGGAAGCCAAUAAUAAACUUAAGCAAAACAAGGAAACCCCACAUACAGUAAAUCUUUGAGUUACUUCUAGUUUACCCCAAUUCAGAGUUCAGUAAAGUUCAAAAUGGAAUUAUUUUACUGAUGUCUACUGAUCUGUCUCUUUGAAGUGCAAAUUACUGUUCUUGAGUAUCCAGCCAAAGUAGAGUAAUUUAAAAUGGAUUCUAAAUGCCAAAUCAUAAAAAACAGUUUAUUCUUCUCAGUCAUUGAACUCUCUAACAAACUAUCAUAAAUUAUAUGAAGCACGCUCAAGCCAAGAAACACAAUGCUGCUACAAUUUGUUAUGCUUGAUGCAAAAAAGAGUGUGAAACAGUCAGAUUUACAUCAUCCUUUCUGCUUUUGUUGGAGGGUGUGAGAGGCUUCAGGACUCACAACUGCUGCUAUUAACUGGGAGGCUGAGUUCUGCCGAGACAAACACCAGUGCCAUUCAAGUGGU
Molecule: long non-coding RNA, 2959 nt
Organism: Monopterus albus (swamp eel)
Lineage: Eukaryota; Metazoa; Chordata; Actinopteri; Synbranchiformes; Synbranchidae
Exons: 3
Source: RefSeq, a predicted model, not a curated record